This 347-nucleotide ribosomal RNA is filed under the name uncultured bacterium. Its description in RNAcentral is "bacterial SSU rRNA". It matches the Rfam family "Bacterial small subunit ribosomal RNA", at positions 32 to 356 of the family's 1533-position model. The record is from RNAcentral.
AAUCAACGCUGGCGGCGUGCCUCAGACAUGCAAGUCGAACGCGAAAGUUCCCUUCGGGGAGCAAGUAGAGUGGCGCACGGGUGAGUAACACGUAGGUAAUUUGCCUUCGGGUGGGGAAUAACAGUCGGAAACGACUGCUAAUACCGCAUAAUGCAGCGGCUCGACAUCGAGACAGUUGUUAAAGCGGGGGAUCCUUCGGGACCUCGCGCCUGAAGAGAAGCCUGCGGCAGAUUAGCUAGUUGGUGAGGUAAUGGCCCACCAAGGCUACGAUCUGUAACCGGCCUGAGAGGGCGGUCGGUCACACUGACACUGACAUACGGGUCAGACUCCUACGGGAGGCAGCAGUC